GCUGGAGUGGCGGAACUGGCAGACGCACGGGACUCAAAAUCCCGCGCCCUUCACUGGGCAUGAGGGUUCGACCCCCUCCUCCAGCACCA
Molecule: transfer RNA, 89 nt
Filed under: Acidobacteriota bacterium
Lineage: Bacteria; Pseudomonadati; Acidobacteriota
Also listed under: 7 other names
Description: tRNA-Leu
Rfam family: tRNA
About the family: Transfer RNA (tRNA) molecules are approximately 80 nucleotides in length. Their secondary structure includes four short double-helical elements and three loops (D, anti-codon, and T loops).
Source: RNAcentral